RNAcentral lists this ribosomal RNA (536 nucleotides) under uncultured bacterium. RNAcentral describes it as "bacterial SSU rRNA". It matches the Rfam family "Bacterial small subunit ribosomal RNA", at positions 340 to 890 of the family's 1533-position model. The record is from RNAcentral.
UACGGGAGGCAGCAGUGGGGAAUAUUGGGCAAUGGAGGAAACUCUGACCCAGCAACGCCGCGUGGAGGAAGAAGGUUUUCGGAUCGUAAACUCCUGUCCUUGGAGACGAGUUGAAGACGGUAUCCAAGGAGGAAGCCCCGGCUAACUACGUGCCAGCAGCCGCGGUAAUACGUAGGGGGCAAGCGUUGUCCGGAAUAAUUGGGCGUAAAGGGCGCGUAGGCGGCUCGGUAAGUCUGGAGUGAAAGUCCUGCUUUUAAGGUGGGAAUUGCUUUGGAUACUGUCGGGCUUGAGUGCAGGAGAGGUUAGUGGAAUUCCCAGUGUAGCGGUGAAAUGCGUAGAGAUUGGGAGGAACACCAGUGGCGAAGGCGACUAACUGGACUGUAACUGACGCUGAGGUGCGAAAGUGUGGGGAGCAAACAGGAUUAGAUACCCUGGUAGUCCACACUGUAAACGAUGAAUGCUAGGUGUAGGGGGUAUCGACCCCUUCUGUGCCGCAGUCAACACAAUAAGCAUUCCGCCUGGGGAGUACGGCCGCA